AACGAACGCUGGCGGCAGGCUUAACACAUGCAAGUCGAGCGCCUCGCAAGAGGAGCGGCAGACGGGUGAGUAACGCGUGGGAACGUACCCUUAUCUUCGGAAUAGCUCUGGGAAACUGGAAGUAAUACCGAAUGUGCCCUUAGGGGGAAAGAUUUAUCGGAUAAGGAUCGGCCCGCGUUGGAUUAGCUAGUUGGUGGGGUAAAGGCCUACCAAGGCGACGAUCCAUAGCUGGUCUGAGAGGAUGAUCAGCCACAUUGGGACUGAGACACGGCCCAAACCCCUACGGGAGGCAGCAGUGGGGAAUAUUGGACAAUGGGCGCAAGCCUGAUCCAGCCAUGCCGCGUGAGUGAUGAAGGCCUUAGGGUUGUAAAGCUCUUUCACCGGAGAAGAUAAUGACGGUAUCCGGAGAAGAAGCCCCGGCUAACUUCGUG
RNAcentral lists this ribosomal RNA (431 nucleotides) under uncultured bacterium. Its description in RNAcentral is "partial 16S ribosomal RNA". It matches the Rfam family "Bacterial small subunit ribosomal RNA", at positions 29 to 507 of the family's 1533-position model. The record is from RNAcentral.